AGUGAACGCUGGCGGUAGGCCUAACACAUGCAAGUCGAACGGCAGCACAGGAGAGCUUGCUCUCUGGGUGGCGAGUGGCGGACGGGUGAGGAAUACAUCGGAAUCUACUCUGUCGUGGGGGAUAACGUAGGGAAACUUACGCUAAUACCGCAUACGACCUACGGGUGAAAGCAGGGGACCUUCGGGCCUUGCGCGAUGGAAUGAGCCGAUGUCGGAUUAGCUAGUUGGCGGGGUAAAGGCCCACCAAGGCGACGAUCCGUAGCUGGUCUGAGAGGGUGAUCAGCCACACUGGAACUGAGACACGGUCCAGACUCCUACGGGAGGCAGCAGUGGGGAAUAUUGGACAAUGGGCGCAAGCCUGAUCCAGCCAUACCGCGUGGGUGAAGAAGGCCUUCGGGUUGUAAAGCCCUUUUGUUGGGAAAGAAGUCCAGCUGGCUAAUACCCGGUUGGGAUGACGGUACCCAAAGAAUAAGCACCGGCUAACUUCGUGCCAGCCGCCGCCGUAA
Molecule: ribosomal RNA, 506 nt
Filed under: uncultured bacterium
Lineage: Bacteria
Description: partial 16S ribosomal RNA
Rfam family: Bacterial small subunit ribosomal RNA
Source: RNAcentral